GUAAUUUGGUCAGUUUGGUUAUUCAGUGCCCAACCAAAAUGAAAUAACCAAACCUAUAGAAAACCAAAAAUGAAUCGAAAAAAUUGAAAAGCAUCAAUUCAUUUCAGUUUCAAUUUGAACCAAACAGAGCUCAACCCUAAAGGUUUUUCCCUCUGUAAUCAUCCCCGUACCAUCCAAUUAACAACUCUGAAGACAUGCCCAAACAAAUGCAACCCAAUAUAAAACUUAAACAGCAUGAGAUUUGAGAGUAAAGAAUCACAUUCCAGAUCAGGAAAAAA
This 278-nucleotide unclassified non-coding RNA is filed under the name Hevea brasiliensis (rubber tree). Lineage: Eukaryota; Viridiplantae; Streptophyta; Magnoliopsida; Malpighiales; Euphorbiaceae. The record is from RNAcentral.